RNAcentral lists this ribosomal RNA (819 nucleotides) under uncultured organism. Its description in RNAcentral is "bacterial SSU rRNA". It matches the Rfam family "Bacterial small subunit ribosomal RNA", at positions 510 to 1326 of the family's 1533-position model. The record is from RNAcentral.
AGCAGCCGCGGUAAUACGUAGGGGGCGAGCGUUGUUCGGAAUUACUGGGCGUAAAGAGAGCGUAGGCGGGAGAGUAAGUUAGGAGUGAAAUGCAUGGGCUUAACCCAUGGUCCGCUCUUAAUACUGCUUUCCUUGAGUGUAGGAGGGGAAAGCGGAAUUCCGGGUGUAGCGGUGGAAUGCGUAGAUAUCCGGAAGAAUAUCAAUGGCGAAGGCUGCUUUCUGGCCUAUUACUGACGCUGAGGCUCUAAAGCUAGGGGAGCGAACAGGAUUAGAUACCCUGGUAGUCCUAGCCGUAAACGUUGGGCACUGGAUGUUGGAGGGUUUCCCUUCAGUGUCGUAGCUAACGCGAUAAGUGCCCCGCCUGGGGAGUACGCCCGCAAGGGUGAAACUCAAAGGAAUUGACGGGGGCCCGCACAAGCGGUGGAGCAUGUGCUUUAAUUCGAUGAUACGCGAGGAACCUUACCUGGGUUUGACAUGGGAGUGAAAGCCGCCAGAGAUGGUGGCCCUUCUCUUCGGAGAACGCUCCACACAGGUGCUGCAUGGUUGUCGUCAGCUCGUGUCGUGAGAUGUUGGGUUAAGUCCCAUAACGAGCGCAACCCUUGCCCUUAGUUGCCAGCGGUUCGGCCGGGCACUCUAAGGGGACUGCCUGGUAUUUCCAGGAGGAAGGGGAGGAUGACGUCAAAUCAUCAUGGCCCUUAAGCCCAGGGCUAGACACGUGCUACAAUGGCCGGUACAAAGGGAUGCAAUGCCGCGAGGCUGAGCAAAUCCCUAAAACCGGUCUCAGUUCGGAUUGGAGUCUGCAAUUCGACUCCAUGAAGU